GAGUAACGCGUAGGUAACCUGCCUACUAGCGGGGGAUAACUAUUGGAAACGAUAGCUAAUACCGCAUAACAGCAUUUAACACAUGUUAGAUGCUUGAAAGGAGCAAUUGCUUCACUAGUAGAUGGACCUGCGUUGUAUUAGCUAGUUGGUGAGGUAACGGCUCACCAAGGCGACGAUACAUAGCCGACCUGAGAGGGUGAUCGGCCACACUGGGACUGAGACACGGCCCAGACUCCUACGGGAGGCAGCAGUAGGGAAUCUUCGGCAAUGGGGGCAACCCUGACCGAGCAACGCCGCGUGAGUGAAGAAGGUUUUCGGAUCGUAAAGCUCUGUUGUAAGAGAAGAACGUGUGUGAGAGUGGAAAGUUCACACAGUGACGGUAACUUACCAGAAAGGGACGGCUAACUACGUGCCAGCAGCCGCGGUAAUACGUAGGUCCCGAGCGUUGUCCGGAUUUAUUGGGCGUAAAGCGAGCGCAGGCGGUUUAAUAAGUCUGAAGUUAAAGGCAGUGGCUUAACCAUUGUUCGCUUUGGAAACUGUUAGACUUGAGUGCAGAAGGGGAGAGUGGAAUUCCAUGUGUAGCGGUGAAAUGCGUAGAUAUAUGGAGGAACACCGGUGGCGAAAGCGGCUCUCUGGUCUGUAACUGACGCUGAGGCUCG
Molecule: ribosomal RNA, 659 nt
Filed under: Streptococcus sp. T11-SB-T3P11
Lineage: Bacteria; Bacillati; Bacillota; Bacilli; Lactobacillales; Streptococcaceae
Description: bacterial SSU rRNA
Rfam family: Bacterial small subunit ribosomal RNA
Source: RNAcentral